RNAcentral lists this ribosomal RNA (957 nucleotides) under Biatoropsis usnearum. Its description in RNAcentral is "partial 28S large subunit ribosomal RNA". It matches the Rfam family "Eukaryotic large subunit ribosomal RNA", at positions 1 to 944 of the family's 3401-position model. The record is from RNAcentral. Lineage: Eukaryota; Fungi; Basidiomycota; Tremellomycetes; Tremellales; Tremellaceae.
GACCUCAAAUCAGGUAGGGCUACCCGCUGAACUUAAGCAUAUCAAUAAGGGAGGAAAAGAAACUAACAAGGAUUCCCCUAGUAACGGCGAGCGAACCGGAUGAGCUCAAAUUUGAAAUCUGGCGCCCUCCGGGCGUCCGAGUUGUAACUAUAGAAGCGUUUUCCGUGCCGGACCGUGUCCAAGUCCCUUGGAACAGGUAUCAAAGAGGGUGACAAUCCCGUACUUGACACGACGACCGGUGCUCUUGAUACGCUCUCUACGAGUCGAGUUGUUUGGGAAUGCAGCUCAAAACGGUGGUAAAUUCCAUCUAAAGCUAAAUAUUGGCGAGAGACCGAUAGCGAACAGUACCGUGAGGGAAAGAUGAAAAGCACNNNNNNNNNNNNNNNNNNNNNNNNNNNNNGGAAAGAGAGUUAAACNGUAUGGAAAUUGUUGAAAGGGAAACGAUUGAAGUCAGUCGUGUCAUGAGGAUUCGCCGGCCCUGCCGGUGUACUUCCUCUUGACGGGUCAACAUCAGUUUUGACGGCGGAUAAGGGAGAUGGGAAUGUGGCACCUUCGGGUGUGUUAUAGCCGUCGCCGCAUACGUCGGACGAGACUGAGGCAUGCAGCUCGCCCUUCGGGCCGGGGUUCGCCCACGUCCGAGCUUAGGAUGUUGACGGAAUGGCUUUAACGACCCGUCUUGAAACACGGACCAAGGAGUCUAACAUAUCUGCGAGUGUUGGGUGUCAAACCCGGGCGCGCAAUGAAAGUAAACGUAGGAGGGAUCCGAAGGAGCACCUUCGACCGAUCUGGAUCUUCUGUGAUGGAUUUGAGUAAGGCAUAUAUGCUGGGACCCGAAAGAUGGUGAACUAUGCCUGAAUAGGGCGAGCCAGGGGAAACUCUGGUGGAGGCUCGUAGCGAUUCUGACGUGCAAAUGAUCGUCAAAUUUGGGUAUAGGGGCGAAAGACUAAUCGAACCAUC